RNAcentral lists this ribosomal RNA (733 nucleotides) under uncultured soil bacterium. Its description in RNAcentral is "bacterial SSU rRNA". It matches the Rfam family "Bacterial small subunit ribosomal RNA", at positions 57 to 834 of the family's 1533-position model. The record is from RNAcentral.
GCAAGUCGAACGAGGUCCUUCGGGGCCUAGUGGCGCACGGGUGCGUAACGCGUGGGAAUCUGCCUUUCGGUACGGAAUAACUCAGGGAAACUUGUGCUAAUACCGUAUGACGUCGCGAGACCAAAGAUUUAUCGCCGAAAGAUGAGCCCGCGUAGGAUUAGCUAGUUGGUGGGGUAAAGGCCUACCAAGGCGACGAUCCUUAGCUGGUCUGAGAGGAUGAUCAGCCACACUGGGACUGAGACACGGCCCAGACCCCUACGGGAGGCAGCAGUGGGGAAUAUUGGACAAUGGGCGAAAGCCUGAUCCAGCAAUGCCGCGUGAGUGAUGAAGGCCUUAGGGUUGUAAAGCUCUUUUACCCGGGAUGAUAAUGACAGUACCGGGAGAAUAAGCCCCGGCUAACUCCGUGCCAGCAGCCGCGGUAAUACGGAGGGGGCUAGCGUUGUUCGGAAUUACUGGGCGUAAAGCGUACGUAGGCGGUGACUCAAGUCAGAGGUGAAAGCCCGGGGCUCAACUCCGGAAUUGCCUUUGAAACUAGGUCGCUUGAACGUCGGAGAGGUGAGUGGAAUUCCGAGUGUAGAGGUGAAAUUCGUAGAUAUUCGGAAGAACACCAGUGGCGAAGGCGGCUCACUGGACGACUGUUGACGCUGAGGUACGAAAGCGUGGGGAGCAAACAGGAUUAGAUACCCUGGUAGUCCACGCCGUAAACGAUGAUAACUAGCUGUCCGGGCACUUG